RNAcentral lists this ribosomal RNA (831 nucleotides) under uncultured Alphaproteobacteria bacterium. Its description in RNAcentral is "bacterial SSU rRNA". It matches the Rfam family "Bacterial small subunit ribosomal RNA", at positions 60 to 940 of the family's 1533-position model. Lineage: Bacteria; Pseudomonadati; Pseudomonadota; Alphaproteobacteria. The record is from RNAcentral.
AGUCGAGCGGGGUAGCAAUACCUAGCGGCAGACGGGUGCGUAACAUGUGGGAAUCUGCCUUUUGGUUCGGAACAACAUGGGGAAACCUGUGCUAAUACCGGAUAAGUCCUAACGGAGAAAGUUUUAAUGCCAAAAGAUGAGCCCGCAUUUGAUUAGCUUGUUGGUGAGGUAAAAGCUCACCAAGGCUAUAAUCAAUAGCUGAUUUGAGAGGAUGAUCAGCCACACUGGGACUGAGAUACGGCCCAGACUCCUACGGGAGGCAGCAGUGGGGAAUCUUGCACAAUGGGCGAAAGCCUGAUGCAGCGAUGCCGCGUGAGUGAAGAAGGCCUUUGGGUUGUAAAGCUCUUUUGUCGGGAAAGAUAAUGACUGUACCCGAAGAAUAAGGUCCGGCUAACUUCGUGCCAGCAGCCGCGGUAAUACGAAGGGACCUAGCGUAGUUCGGAAUUACUGGGCGUAAAGAGUAUGUAGGCGGCUAGAUAAGUUAAUUGUGAAAGCCCAAAGCUUAACUUUGGAACUGCAAUUAAAACUAUUUAGCUAGAGUAUGAUAGAGGAAAGCGGAAUACAUAGUGUAGAGGUGAAAUUCGUAGAUAUUAUGUAGAACACCAGUUGCGAAGGCGGCUUUCUGGAUCAUUACUGACGCUGAGAUACGAAAGUAUGGGUAGCGAAGAGGAUUAGAUACCCUCGUAGUCCAUACCAUAAACGAUGAUUAUUAAAUGUGGGGAAUUAUUUCUCUGUAUUAUAGCUAACGCGUUAAAUAAUCCGCCUGGGGAGUACGACCGCAAGGUUAAAACUCAAAUGAAUUGACGGGGACCCGCACAAGCGGUGGAGCAU